Molecule: long non-coding RNA, 492 nt
Filed under: Homo sapiens (human)
Lineage: Eukaryota; Metazoa; Chordata; Mammalia; Primates; Hominidae
Description: non-protein coding lnc-TPP2-7:2
Source: RNAcentral
AAGACCACUUUACUAAAAAAUAUGGCUGGUGACUCUGAAGCAACAUCAGUGACUAGCUAGACAUAGAGACAGGUAUCUGGUUUGGGGAAGAGGGCAAUGCACAGAAACUGGGAGCUUGUCAGCACCUCUUCAAGGUGACAUUGCUAGACAGAGUAACUAUACCUCCACUUUUAACUACCCGCUCAUUCAGGGCUAGACCAGGCUAGCCCUCCGGACAGGCUAAUUAUUUCAAGCCCUUUCAAACCAUUAUUUUAUCUUCCUUUAUUUUAUGCUGCACUAGAGAAGACAAUUUUUAUGAAUGCAAAUUGUAUGUCUCUCCAUCAGUUCAAUAAGGGAUUUAUUUCAUGAACUAAACCUAUGCUGUUAACUGAUUUAGAAUUGUCCUUGAUUUUGCUCAUUUCCAGUCACCUCUAACUGAUAAUAUUAGGUCCCUGAGUAUACAUUAAAGGCAGAAGAAAAUUACAGAUUAGAAGGCUGAUUCAAAAAUGUUUA